RNAcentral lists this ribosomal RNA (468 nucleotides) under uncultured bacterium. RNAcentral describes it as "partial 16S ribosomal RNA". It matches the Rfam family "Bacterial small subunit ribosomal RNA", at positions 28 to 507 of the family's 1533-position model. The record is from RNAcentral.
GACGAACGCUGGCGGCGUGCUUAACACAUGCAAGUCGAACGGAAAGGCCCUGCUUUUGUGGGGUGCUCGAGUGGCGAACGGGUGAGUAACACGUGAGUAACCUGCCCUUGACUUUGGGAUAACUUCAGGAAACUGGGGCUAAUACCGGAUAGGAGCUACUGCUGCAUGGUGGGGGUUGGAAAGUUUCGGCGGUUGGGGAUGGACUCGCGGCUUAUCAGCUUGUUGGUGGGGUAGUGGCUUACCAAGGCUUUGACGGGUAGCCGGCCUGAGAGGGUGACCGGCCACAUUGGGACUGAGAUACGGCCCAGACUCCUACGGGAGGCAGCAGUGGGGAAUAUUGCACAAUGGGCGGAAGCCUGAUGCAGCAACGCCGCGUGCGGGAUGACGGCCUUCGGGUUGUAAACCGCCUUCGCCUGUGACGAAGCGUGAGUGACGGUAAUGGGUAAAGAAGCACCGGCUAACUACGUG